Molecule: non-coding RNA, 28 nt
Filed under: Rattus norvegicus (Norway rat)
Lineage: Eukaryota; Metazoa; Chordata; Mammalia; Rodentia; Muridae
Source: RNAcentral
UCCUAUGAGUGUGAUUAUGGAGUCAUCA